AGAGAAAGAGAGAGAGAGAGAGAGAGAGAGAGAAGGGAAGGUAUAAUCUUCUGACUCUUUGUCAGGAGUUCUCUGAAAUCGCGCGGUAGGGCAUGUUGUCGACUACUUGCUAGUGGAAAUUAACAACAUGUAAUUCGUGUCAGAAUAAUUUUAGAGCUGAUGAAACUAUUUUAAAUGUUCUUAUUUUAUUAGCAGUUGCCGAUUUAUAAUACAAAUUGAUUGAUAAUAGCCUAAUGCACAUAAGUGUGUCCACUUCAGUUUUUCACUAUAUGAAAUACUCACUGUAACCAUAUUGCUUGUGACCAUACACGUUUAUUAAAGUGUGCAAGGUUACUACACACAUUGUAUGAAAGAGUGCGCAUGUGAACUUUCUGCUAAAAAAUAUUGGUAGGCAAGCUUCCAUUGAACAAGCAGACUAGAUAGAAAAGCCCUUUUUGUUACUGUACUAAAUGUCACUUUACCUCAGUGCAAACAAAAAUAUAAUAAAAUAAUCAAAUAUAAAUUAUAAGACUGAGUUUGUGUGGAUUUAAAACCCCAGUGUGCCUCCGCCGUGCUCACUAAACAAAUUAUUAAAUAUAGCUAGCGUACACCAUACUUAAAAAAAACAGGAUCAACAGCCAAUCACAAGACGCGUAAUUUCUUGGCCACGUUCUAAUUCUGGCCAAUGAUCAGCUCCCGGAGGCGGGGUGAGGGACUUGACGCACUGAGGCGCGUGAUUGACGCAAGCGAUGUUACUAAAUUUAGCAGCGGGUGGCACGGGGUGUGAGAUAGCAGAUCCUUCAUUCAUUGCGCCGGGGCGGGUCCGUUUAUUUUAGACAUUUGAUUGUGUUCCAGCCAAUCCAAAUAUAGUCGUAGACAGGUAUUUUUAGCGGAAGCGUGUCCCCGUUACCUCUUACCAGGGAACAACCUUAUGAUAUCCCCAUACUGUAAUGGGAGAAAGUAGAGAACCGAUAGCCUCGGGUAAUUUCGCUGCCCGUUGGCUCAAAAUGAAGCUUUUUUCUCAGGUCUCUCCAUUCUAACCAUGUUGUUUAACUCGCUUGGCUCUUCGGAAAAGCUGGACAGUAUAAGUUCGGACGUCCCGAGGACACUAAACAGGUUUCGGUUGUUGUGCUAAAUGUUUUUGUAGAUAGAAUGUGGUUUAAAGGCAACCGUUUAAAAAGGGACAGUUCGUACUAAGCUAAGUCUCGCGACAAAAUAUCGCCAGUAAUGUUUUUUUUUUUUAUCGCUAAUCGAUAGAACAAGUGCAUUGUCUAGUCGGUAAAAGACUACAGGUAAUUUUUCUUCCACAGCUCACGAAAAGCUGUUGCAAAGAAGUUGUAAAUAAGGCUAUUCUUGCUACAGGCAUCAGGUCCAUAUCUGAAAAUAAACCAUAUAAAUGCCUGGAUAAAGAUACAUAUAUAUAUAUAUUGUAGCGAGCAAUUGGCUUGUGUUUGCUUGUUAUAUAUUUUUUAUUAUUUAACUGUCGUUUAUAUUUUGACCAUUUCCCAACUUCAAGAAGUCCAGCAGUACAUCAGGUGGUGGUCUGUAGUUGAGGGGAACAUGUUCGCGUCGCGAGACCUGGGGCUAGGUAUGGAAAGGGUGCGCGCGCGGAGGGAAACUCGCUCCUUGCUUUGCCGUCACGGGGAAUCCCCUCUCCGUGACCUUCCCCCGCCUCUUUAGAUGCUUAAAGAGGGAGAGGGUAAACCGGGUCAAGUGAUAUUAGCCUCGUUUGUGACAAGACCGGUUCAGCUUAGAGACAACUGGGUAAAUUACAUAGCCCACCUUUUAAAGAACCAGAAACUGUCUCUGUGGUUAUAGGUAUAACGGAUGUGCAAAAGUUAAAGCUGAAAGAAAGAGAUAUAAGCAGACAACAAAACAGAAGUCAAUAAAACUUCCACGUUUUUCGGCAGUGAUUGUAAAAUGGAUACAUCUAUGAGUGACAUAUCCAAUGACUUUUACAGCAGUGACUCAUCCAAAAGGAAGGAAAUACUGCUUUCCGGGCUGAGAUUUCCCAAAAAAUGAAGCGCACAUGCUUUUACUGAGCGCAUUGGCUGGAAAUAUUGCUUGCCUCUCAGGCUCUCCAGUGCACACACAACAGGAGAGCAAUGGCCAAGCUUGGAGGUGGUCACCAUUCACUGCCAAUAUAUGGACAAGCGCAAACACAAUGGAAAUAAACAUAUUUGACUUGCUGUCCUUGGUGGAGGGCUCAAGCAAAACCAGCAGAGAAGUUGGGGUUGUGGAAGGAUUCCGGAAAACAGUUGCAGGACUAAGUAAUAGGAUUGGUUCCUCAGUGCUGGAUCAGUGGAGAGCUGGACGGCCGCCAAGUGUGCAGUACAGUGGUUACAGUGUGAAUCGAACUGAUCUUCACUCUAGAGAGAGAGGGACUUCCCCAUUUGACUCCAUUACAACACUGAAUACUUAUUCAAAGCACUUAGAUAAGUAAUACAUGUGAGAUGAAGGCAAACUACAGGUUGUUUAAUGAAAAAUGGUGCAUUAGCAUUCCUGUAAUUCGAAUAGUAGUGCAUGGCUGCUAUUUUAGAUUUUACAGAGUAUAAGUGCAAACUCACCUAAGUAUUUUUAUUAUUUCUGACGUUUCAGCAGAC
Molecule: long non-coding RNA, 2582 nt
Organism: Ctenopharyngodon idella (grass carp)
Lineage: Eukaryota; Metazoa; Chordata; Actinopteri; Cypriniformes; Xenocyprididae
Exons: 6
Source: RefSeq, a predicted model, not a curated record